RNAcentral lists this ribosomal RNA (254 nucleotides) under uncultured bacterium. RNAcentral's name for it is "partial 16S ribosomal RNA". It matches the Rfam family "Bacterial small subunit ribosomal RNA", at positions 524 to 776 of the family's 1533-position model. The record is from RNAcentral.
UACGAAGGGGGGCUAGCGUUGCUCGGAAUGACUGGGCGUAAAGGGCGCGUAGGCGGUUUGGACAGUCAGGCGUGAAAUUCCCGGGCUUAACCUGGGGGCUGCGCUUGAUACAUCCAGGCUUGAGUGGGGAAGAGGGUCGUGGAAUUCCCAGUGUAGAGGUGAAAUUCGUAGAUAUUGGGAAGAACACCGGUGGCGAAGGCGGUGACCUGGUCCUUUACUGACGCUGAGACGCGAAAGCGUGGGGAGCAAACAGG